CGCGUGACUCGUUGCGCCUAUUGCAGCGGGAGCAGGGGCGGUGGGUGAGCCCUCGCGGGCCCAGCGGACCGAACCACGGGUCGUCCGGAGGGGCGGCAUGAGGGAGACUCGGGUUGGACCAUCAGCGCCACAGCUGCAGGGGGUAGCGGGCGUUACCAAGCUGUCUAGAGAGGCGGGGGACGUCUGCUUGUCCCGGCUGCAACGCGACCCCUGGAGUGCUCGAGACUACGUCGCCGCCUUCGCCGUGGGAGCACAGUGAGGCGAGAAAUCAGGCCCACCCUCCCUCGCAUCUUCUCCGACCCCCUCGAGCAAGCUCCAUCUUCAGCCUGCCCUGACACUUCAGCUCCGCCGUACACUGAACCCUCAGACACCCAGGACCAACCAUCCUUUCAGGCGUCUCCCCAGCUCCAAGCCAACCGUCUCUCAAACUGCCCUUCGGAGACACCCCCUCAGUUGACUCGUGCCCAGUAGUCAUCGUUGUACUGCAUCUCCUGUGACCGCCCUGCGGUAGCGCGGUAGCCCAGCACCCAGCCCGGGUCCUUUGCACCCUCCGCCCUUUUGGCCCCUGGUUGCCAAGCUGGUAUCUGCAUCCAGUUUUACCUUGAGAAAACCUUUGGCCUGGCAGUUUUGCCAGCCCCCUGCCACCACUCUUAACCUGCUGCAAAGGGCGCUGUCAUCCCGUUGCCCAGGGCUGGCUUGGGCUUGCCAAGCUGGCCCUGAGGACAUCAGGGGACAGCUCUGAAGGCAAGAACCGUUCACUGUUCAUUUUUAUCUACAACGCCCAGCACAGUGCCUGGCACAUGGUAGCAUUCAGUAAAUGUAUGAUGGGUGGGUGAAUGAGCCCAAUGCAGAGACUGUGAGGCAGAGUGCUUUAGAGGGGAAAAUAUCACUACCUACUUGACGGUGGGUGGGGGGGAUCUGGAGGGCCACUUGCACUCAUUGGGAGCAUAGAACUGAAUAUAUGCAGUUUUCAAUUCAUGCGUCUGAUUUCUUUUAUAUAGGAGCCUCUACAUAUCAGCGGUUUUCCCUUUAUGUUCUGUUUACCAAAGUCAUGACCCGGGAAUUUUUACUGGUCAGUGCCUUUAGAGGCUGCCCAGAUAAUCUUGAGAGAGCUUUGCCGGGAUGAUCCCUACCCGAUCCUCUGCUCCAGAGACUGGCUGCUCCCUUUAGGGAAGAAUUGUGGAGGCUAACUACAGCCUUUAAAUCCGACUUGGUGUAACUGGUCUGCUGGUGCUUCGGGACAGGUUGGAGGAAUGAAGGAUCUCAGUUAUUUUACCCUUUAGUUCUUGAGUACAUCUCUUCCCCACCCCCACUGGAAUAGAAAUCCCAGGCUGGCCUAGUGUGAGAAAUAUUCAAAGAUUCCUAAAUACUGCUACGGUAUGAUCAGGCCAUAUAUGGGCCAUUUAUAUCUCAGUAGACCGGAAUGGGGCAGGGAUUACCACUUUGUGGACAUAUCUGUAGUAAAUAAGAACAUAGGCCUUUUAAAGAUGUUAUUCUCUAAGAACAGAGAGCCUGAAACCUGUUUUGUUGAUUUCUAGGAGGAUGAUCUGAAAAGAUUCAGUUUGCUGAAGCUAAGACAGGGUUCUGAGACCUCAGUUUUCGCCCAGGUUCCACGGGGAAGUAGAUGAUAUUGCUGAGUAUUGAAACAAUGGCUGGAAAGCUGUGGGAAUUUAUAAGCUAAGAAAUAGUUUGCCUGACUACUAGUAGCAUUAUUGUACCUGGGGCUCAGAGUGUAGGUAAAAGCAAUGGCUGGAGUUUCUUAAGAGGCUCCACGGAAAUUAAGCAGUGGUAUGGUUUAGAGGAGGGGAGAUACCACCAGAUCUCUGGUGUUCUGCUACUUGUGUCCCUCAUAUGUAUGGCUAUAAGGCAGUCAUCCUCGCUGUUUCUGCUCUGAGGAAAGUCAAAAUCUGGUUUCCUAUGAUUUUUAUGCUGUGUUUAAGGUCCCUUUUUGAGGCCAGGCCUGCCUAACUAGAACCUGGGUAUGUUCUCAACCAUUUCUAGCUUUAAUAUAUCCUUUACUUUUUCUUUUUCCUAUUCUCUGACUUAUCAUUAUAACUUUAUAAAGUAAAUCUUGGAUCAGGAAUUUCAGAUUUUUCUGAAAGCAGAAAGGGGCUCCUGAGCUGGGUUAAGCGUGGACAUCGUGCCUGUAGACCAGUUUUUGAGUUUAGUUUUUGGUUAACCAGUAAGUUUAUAAUGGGCUUUUCUACUUUUCCCUGUCUAGAGUCCCUGUUGAAAUCUCAAUAAUCCCAAAAAACUCUGGAUUAUUUUAUGUAAUUUAUCUUCAUUUCCAGUACUUCAGACUGUUGCCAGAUAAAAUACAGGAUGCCAAGUUAAAUUUGAAUUUAAGAUAAACAACAGAGUAUCCUGUAUUUUUAUUUGCUAAAUCUGGUAACCCUAGUUCACGGGAAGGCUUGUGUGUUCUAUUUUUCCUCUCUACAAAUUUAGGACAAUAACUCACCCUUUUCUUCUGUUACACACAGUGACUGAGCAGCCUAUUAAAAGUCACUUGACUGAGAUGGCUCACUCACUGCAUGUUAGGGUAAGGGCAGAUUCUGUAGUGAUCAUCCACUUGAUCAGUGUUGAGGUUACCCAGAAAACACCCACUCAUACAUUGACAUAUGAUGUUGUAGUUCCUGUCAAAUGAAUCUGUCAUGCAAAAUGAGCAUGUUAUUUUGAGUGGCCAGAUGUAAACAUUACUCUGAGAGGGACUUCAAGGGAUGAGGGUGGGGUGUGGGUGCAUUUUAAAGAAAAAUUAUAGCUUACAUCAGAACCUCUUGUACCACAUUUAUUCUUUUAUUAAAAAGUUCUGGUAAAACAUAUAUAACAUAAAAUCUAUCAUUUUAACCAUUCUUAAGUAUACAGUUCAUUGUCAUUAAGUACAUUCAUAUUGUUGUCCAGCCAUCACUACCACCUCUCUCCAGAACUUUUUCAUUUUCUCAAACUAAAACUGCAUACUCAUUAAAUAACUCAUUUCCUUUUCUCCCAGCCCCUGACAACCACCAUUCUACUUUCUUUCUCCAUGAAUUUGACUACUCUAGGUACUUCAUAUAAGUCAAAUCUUACAAUAUUUCUCUCUUUGUGACUAGUACAUCCUUCAAGGUACAUCCAUAUGGUCACUUGUAUCUGAAUUUCCUUCCCUUUUUAAGGCUGAAUAAUAUUCAUUGUAUGUAUAUUCCACAUUCUUUUUAUCCAUUCAUCCAUCGAUGGACACUUGAGUUGCUUCAACCUUUUGGCUAUUGAGAAUAAAGCUGCUAUGGAAAAUGGUGUACAAAUAU
This 3275-nucleotide long non-coding RNA is filed under the name Sus scrofa (pig). RNAcentral describes it as "lncRNA (ENSSSCG00025023626.1)". The record is from RNAcentral. Lineage: Eukaryota; Metazoa; Chordata; Mammalia; Artiodactyla; Suidae.